Molecule: non-coding RNA, 3426 nt
Organism: Malus domestica (apple)
Lineage: Eukaryota; Viridiplantae; Streptophyta; Magnoliopsida; Rosales; Rosaceae
Source: RefSeq, a predicted model, not a curated record
GUGAUCCAAUUUCACAUGGCCAGGCCCAAGGCCCAAAACCGAUACCACCGAGGUUCAAUAUCCAUUUUCACAACUUAUCACCACGCCCGUCGUACAACAGCUUGCUCCAUACCCAAAGCUCUCCAAACGACUCCGUUGGCUCCGCCGCGGGCGCCACCGCGCCCAUCGUCAGCAACACUCUGUAACAUUCGCCGUUGGAAAAUGACUAAUUUGACAAUUUUGAUCAAGUAUGAUGGGAAGUGGGUGAAUUCCUCAUAUAGGGGUGGCAAAACUAAGGCAUUAGUUGUUUCUGAAAAACUUACUUAUGAGGAGCUUCAAGAUAGACUGUAUGGUCUCAUGAAGGUCGACCCAAAUGAAUAUGGAAUUAUAAUGAAAGCUGUAUAUAGUGGAAAGUCUCAUCCGUAUCCUGCGGAAGUAGUAGAUGAUAAUGACGUGGCUGCAUUUAUUUGUGAGAGUGUUGCACGGGACUGGAAAAUUCCAUUGUGCGUUACUCUUGAAUGCAGGGUAUUAGCUUCUGGAAGUGGAAGUAAUCAACAAGCUCCAAUCGGCCUUGCAACUCAUACUACAAAAUCUCAUUCAUUAGAUCCCCACACUCAACAUGAAGAACAAAAUUCCUUUGACUUCAUUUCCAGUCCAAUGCCAAUGGACUUCAGUUCAGGGACUCAAGCAAAUUCGGAUUGUGUUGAUGGAUUGAUCCAUGAUGAUUUCGAAAAUGAUAAGGAGCAUGAUAAUAUAGAAGUUGAUGUGGAACAAAACAACCUGCAACAUGAUGAUGUGCCUUGUGACAAGCUGCAACUUUCUGAGGUGCCUCAGCCAAACUUGCAAUUUGAUGAUUUGCCUCAUGACAGCAGGCAAUUUGAUAAUAUGUAUCAUGAAAAUAUGCAAUUUUGCGAUCAUCAUCUCAAUCCUCCUAAAUCUCUACCUCGAGCUCGGUCUUGGCGUAAACUCACAGAAGAAAUGGUUAAUAGGAUGCUGAAUUCGGGGUUGAAAGCAGGGGGAGAUAUGGAACUAGGUUCAGUGUACAAGAGCAAAAAGGAUUUACAGAAGAUGUUAGCCCUUGCUGCAAUUAAAAGAAGUUUUGAGUUCAAAGUUAAGAGGUCCACGAGAAAGAGAUUUUCUGUUGAAUGUGUGAAUGACAACUGCGCGUGGAAAGUCCAUGCAACCAAGUCGCCAGACUCUGAUUAUUUCAUGAUAACAAAAUAUGAUAGUCGCCACUCUUGUUCAUCAGAUGCUAAAAAUCUCAGUUCGUUAGAUGCAAAAAAUGGCAGUCACCGACAAGCAAGCAGCUUGCUCAUUGGUGAGUUUGUAAAGUCAAAAUACAAGGGUGUUUUGUGCCAAUGCAAGCCGAAAAAUAUCAUUGAGGAUGUGCAGAAAGAUCUUGGAGUGAAUAUAAGUUAUUCGACAGCUAAGAGGGUUUUGGAUUGUGCAUUGAAAGAUGUUGGGGUAUCAUCACCAGAACUUUCUUCUAAACAGGCGUCAAGUGAAAGGUGCAAGAAGGAAAGAACUCCGUCUCAACCAAAAAAAAUGUCCCGUGGAGAAGAGCAGUCUACACGGAAUUGUGGAAAAUGUGGCUCAACUGGUCAUUACCGUAAAACCUGCAAGAACCCUAUUACUCUUCAUCUUAAUUCCGAAAGUGAGUUUGCUGCCUAGAACUGGGGCGUGGAUAGCCCUAAACUGUAGUAAAUUAUUAUCUAGAGACAAUGCAUUUUUCAUCUUUUCUACUGUUGUAAACUUUUCAUGUUUUCAUUGACACUUUUUAUUAAGCUUUGAAACUAGCUUGACAUAACUUCAAGUGAUGUAGCUGAAACAAAAAGUUUUGAAGUACUUUACUUGAAGCCUUCUGAGCCUGCUGGAAAAGAUUUCAAGUAUGGUACAUGAAACCAUUUGAACAUUCAAAAUGGUUAUGAAAAGACUACUGAAAACAAGUUGAGUCCAACCCAAAAUGGUUCAAGCUUAGCAUUUUGAACGAUGUUGAAGAGAACUACAUAAAACCCAACUGCUUGGGCUUGUUAUGGUUUGGAGUAAGAUUUUGACAUCCUUUGUAUGUCGUAUAUUCUUACCCUCAAAGGGAGCAGUGCAGAAAAGGGGUAUGAUGCUUACUAUUCAUGUGAAAAUGAUGUUAUUUUGGCUUAAUACUCCAGCAGUGAAGAAUGGCGUGAAACAAGGGGCUUUAUGGCUUCUCUAGAUCCACUGGUGAAGCAAAGUUGCGUGCGCACAGAGCAUUUGGUGCGACUAUUACCUGUGAUCCUGCCGGUGUAAUUGGAUCUGUCAGUGAUACACAUCUAUGGGGGACACUUGAAAUGUUCACUUUAGCGUUUGCAUAUGGCCUCUUCUUUGAAGGUGGCAAACGGCCUGGCUCUUGCUGGAGCUUCUGUGGGAAAAUUGCUGUAUGCCAAUUAUGGCAUUGACCCGUUGAAUCUAUAUUUCAUAUAUUGAGAGAGAUUGCAGCAGAGCUCAAAGCAUUUGGGAGACAUCAGAGUGCCAAGCCAGCUUGUUACUCCUUUUAUUGGAUUAUAUGGCCUCAAUGCUGGCUAAUCCUUAAAGAAAAACACCUGUAGUGUGAUAAUCUUGAAGGGAGUAGCCUGUUGAUCUUCACAUGGUAUCUGUGGGAGGUUGGCUGGAAGCCAGUUCCCCUAUUCUCCAAAACCAACUGGAAGUACAGGUCUUUCUUGCUUAGGAGCCUCCUGAAAUGGAAUGGCAGAAUAUGAAUGUUGAUGUGCCGAGGAGAAUGGCAUCUGGCGGAAUUAGAGCAGGGAAAGUAAUUUAAACCAAUCUUGGCAAGGGAUAUUGAAGUAGAAAUCUGGGGAUUACAGUUUAAGCUUGCAGUUUGCAAUUUAGAAGAAGGCACUAAAAUAUGUAUUCAGAUUUCAGACGGACUUGGCUAUUAUUGCAAAAUUGAUGAAACAAGAGAGAAGAAUGCAGUGGCACACGGGAUGGCAAAUGGAGCUACAACCCUGAUUUGGAGUGACCACGCUAAGCAUCUUAGGGCUGUUUGUUUUUCUUCCCCCACCUUUAGAGAAUCGUGUUUAGACCUUCGUUGCAUUAUUUUUAUGGAGUCAUUGCUGGAAACUUACUGCUGCUUUUCUUUUUCUUUCUUGGUCGAUUGGACGUUGUUCUGUUUAUGUGCAGAUUGCAGAUCAUGAUCAAGGAUGUUAAUGAGCAGUUGCAGUCAUCUGUCAAGAGAAGCUAUAGCUUCUUAUUGGAAAUUUGUCCUAUGCUGCUGAGUACGGUGAGAAAUGGUAAAUUAUGCUCUCUAUCUCUCUCUCGUUGCACGACAUGUUAGGUGAUGAGAGAGACAUAAAACGUGAGUGUUUGAACCCACGAAGCCAAGUUUUUUUCUUGCUAAUAAGACCGGUUGCUUUGAUAGUUCAUUGUUCUUUUCUGACCAAAACCAGAUUAUUAACAAUGUGGUUUGGUUUGGUGACA